This 254-nucleotide long non-coding RNA is filed under the name Elaeis guineensis (African oil palm). Its description in RNAcentral is "long non-coding RNA (EGUI_LNC021998)". The record is from RNAcentral. Lineage: Eukaryota; Viridiplantae; Streptophyta; Magnoliopsida; Arecales; Arecaceae.
AGAGGCAAAGAGAUAGAGAAAGAAAAUGGGAGGGAGAGAGAGACUAAAAGAGAGAAAAGAAGAGGGAGGAGGGAGUGAGAGGGAGAGGGAGAACGAGAGGACAACGAGCGACCCGUGAAGGAUUGGGGAGGGGUGUGAAGGGAUGGAGAAAAAGCCCCAUCUCAUUCCCAUAUUUGGUUCGAAACAAAUCUUAAAAAAAAAAUUAUUUUAAAAAAAUUAAAUAAAAGGAGUGGAUCAUGAUCUUCUUUGGGCGG